UCUUAGUUUUCCCCAUGGACAAGGAGGUUGUCCAUUGUGCUCCUUGGUUUUAGUCACUAUGGUUCAUCAUCUGUCAGACCUUUGCAGACACUCCAAGAAGCCAUUGGUGCUGGGUAUUUCCUUUUGUUGACGUGAAGGAAUGCACAAGCAGAUUUAACAAAUUUGUCAAUCCAGCUUGUUCACCUUCUUGAAACCAAACCUGACAGUCUUGCAUGCAAAUUACCCGAGAUUUUCAACGAGCAACGAUGAUAAUUGCUGCUGUUUGGUAAUUAUCUCCCCUCAGACAGUCUCAAUUUAUCACAUCGAGGCCUAAAGGCUCCAAUGUCUUCAUCUUCCAAAAGUAUUGAUACAUAGUUCUAUACAUCAAGAAUAAAAAUGGCAUUUUUGCAGCCAUACUUAUUGUCAGGGUCAGAUUGAAUAAGGGAGAAUAUUAAUAAUUUUGGAAGAAAGCGUACCUGCAAGUUGGUCUGAAAUGUCUUGCUGGAAAACCAAACUUUUUCAGCAAUAUUUUGUGGUAAUGUAUUAAAAUCAUCAGAAAAUAAAUUCUUUCUCUGCCUGGCUCUGAUAAAUAGCCUUUUAUGUUCGUGCUUCUAGUACCAAAAUAAAAGUUCAAAACCCAUAAACUGUGCGACAUCUCUCCUGCCUACCUAUAACCUCAUCUUUUCUCCAUCAGGGUAUCUUUAUCAGAAGGUCAUAAAUCACAGCCACUCGCAUUAUGGAGCAGCGACUCUCAGAGAGCUCUGCUAAGGCAGGUUUCAUCUUAAGGUUGCCAAAUCCAAAAGAUUGGUUGACCCGGAAAAUAAAAGGGGAUGAUGCUGUAAAUAUUCCAUACACUUUCUAGAGCUGAGACCAACAGCAGCUGAUGCUGGAGUGCUACAAAAUAUGGAACUGGCAGUAUCAGAGAGGCUAUCACGCACAAGAGCUCCUAGCAUUGGCAUCUGGCAGAUGAAGACUUUGUUUCUGGAAACACAUGCUCUCUGAGAACAAAACAGAGAGUCAUUGUAAAUUAGAUGUGAAAUAACAGCUUUUCCUGGAGGGUGAAUCUGGUGAUCUCAUUCGUAAAGAGAGCCAGAAUAUUUGGGCAGGGUUUCAUCCAGCCAAGGGAGAUUUGGUGGUCCUGAGUGGAGGAGAGCUUGGCAUUGUGAUGGGCAUGUCUCAUAACUAACUGAAAACAAAGCCCUUCCAGUAAGGGAAUAGGUUCAAUGCAUGGACGAGAAUUGGAAGGCUCAAUCCAGGCAAGAUGGGAGCAUCGCUGGAGGAGGGUUCCCCUCCAUCAAGGGCUUGCCUGUUGACUGUUAGGGAGAUUUACAGCCUUCCCUGAGCUACAGGUGAGAUUUCCACUUGGAGCUUGUCACAGUUUGGUACUGAGCUCCAUUAAGCCACUGAUGCCAGGAGGUGGAUGGCCUCUCACCUGUGUCAUUGCUCCUCUACUGAGGCUACAUAUCCCAAAGGAAUGUUAAUCAUGAGCUACUCAUCCAACAGGUCUUCAUGCCAGACAUAGUCUCCCACACAGGUUCCCAAACAGCAACAUUCAGGAACCAUUUGUUGCUCUUGAGAGGUGUUGAGUGUUUCCACCUCAUGCUGUGUGUCUCUAUCAAGGUGUUUAGAAGCCCAACUGCUUCAUAAAUGUGUCCAAAGACACCUUCAUGCAAAAGCCAAAGUGCAGGCAAAUAACCAAUGUAUUUCAAGUUGUCGUGCUUCCUGAGGGCUUCAGCAAGAAAAUCAUUGAUAUCCUCCAGGCUUGAUCAAAACCGAACACCUCAGGACUUCACAAGCAAGACUGGGAGCCGUUUCAGAAAAUGUAGGCCAUAGCUCUGCAAUGUUAAAGUCUUCCGCCUGAAAACCAAAAUUUGCCUUUCUUUUUCUCAGAAGGAUAUGCUCUGACAAACUCCCAGCAAAUGAAAAUUGAGAUUUUGUUCUAUUUAUACUCCUUGAAAAUCCACAGACAAUGUAAGUGAAUUUGUAGUACAAAACGGAACGUAUUAUCCAGACUGGUGAGAGAUAGUUACACAUCCCUCGUACAGCGGUACACAAUAAUCCAGCCAAAAUAUUUCAGAACUAAUUACUGUACAUCCUUCUAAUCCCUGGUAGAGAAAAAUAACCUAUAUUUUUGGAAGUUCAUUGGAAGCAUGUGUUUAAGAUGUUGUUAAUCCUUCAUUCCAAAAUCAUUGGCUGAGUGAUAAUGAAACAGUCCUGUUUGCUCUCAGUGUGUGAAGACCUAAAUCCCAUCUUGGUUAAAGCUGAUUAUUUUCUGUAAAGGAACAUAACUCAAUUCCUUUUCUUCCUGUUUUGCUUUCCUUUCUUUCAGUGAGAAUUUUCCAUUCCUACUUUGGUUUUCUAGAUGGCAACCGGCAGUAGGAAACGAUCGGCUUUAAUCUCAAAUUUCAGAAUCAAUACAGUGUGGGUACUAUUGAUUUUGGCAUACCGGGAUGACCCCGAGGGGGUUUGCAGCAACCAAAGAGGGCUUUUGAUGUUUUUGGACCUUCUUCAAUUAGAAUUGCUAAAAACCUUCCACCCUGCUAAACAGAGGAGAGCCAAAAUAACUUUGCUUUGCAGCCGCGUACCCGUCACAGCACAGCAAGGGCCUGGCACAUGAUGUCCACGGAUCCAGCAACCACAGUGUCCCUCUGCAUCACAGGGCAAAGGAGGGUAAAAAGCUGCCCUUUCACCUAAGACAGGCUAAAGAAAACCAUAGAGCCUUAUUUGCUUCCAUUGAGAAAUACUCAUGAAUCGAUAUUGGAAAUGGAGCAAGGAGUGGCUCUUAUGUCUGAGUUCUGUUUUUUGCCACUCCUGUUGGGAACACAUUUGCAAGCAAAAAAUCUCAGACUUCCUAGGUUCUGAGUACUUCACUCUAUGACUUUAAUAUUCUUUAACCAUAUGGGCUCCUCUGUAAUUCUAAAUGAUUUUUUGAAAGGUCUGGAUUCAAUUUCUCUAAUAGCCUCAGUGUUUUCAGGCCAGCUAAGAUCACUCUUGCAGUUCGGUGUGAGUUUGGGAUGUUGCCCAGAGCAAACAAUAGAGGAGCUGUGGGAUUUUUUUCUUUUUUUUUCUUCUUCUCUCCUAUAAAUUUUAUGAAUUUCAGAUUGAUGUUUGUUGAGUUUAUACAUUUUUUAAAAUAAAUCUCACUAAAGAUGGUCGAAGAACAAAAUAAAUUCUCUUUGCUGCCAUGUGGUCUUUGCAUACCGGGCUGCAUUGAGCUCUAGUACAGCAUCCUCCUCUUCCUCCAGACUACCACCAGCUUGAGACACAUCAAAAGUCUGUCAGCUCUCUCAGCACUCAGCUUUUCCCACCUACUGAAGACACCUCUGAUAGGCUUGCACCAAGUCUAGGGAUCUGGCUGUCCCUGAAGCAGCCCUGGACGCUGUUUGACCACCCUGAAGAUGGCUGAGGUUAGGUGGAUGGGUGCCCUACCAAGUCCCUCUGCAAGUCAAGCACUUGGGAGUAAAAGAAGUCAGUCUCUUCCUUCCAAGAAAUGGUUCAGAGAGCCUAAAUAUGAGGUUUCACAAGAGCUGGUCUGGCAGAUAAUCCUGCUGAGCAUUUCUGCUCAUGUUCCAAGGGAUGGAGUGAAGAUAGUCUUCCAAACCAUGUGGUUUGUUCUGCAAUAGUAAGGAACUGUGGGUGCACAGGAGGAGAGGGUUUAAAUUCAAGGUGGUGCUGAUAAUGUCAUGAAAAGCUCUGAAAAACAGAAAUACAAGAAAAUGUGAUGGGGACGCAGACAGCAGGCACUGUCCUGCACUGCUUCACUGCAGAGGUGGGAAGAAGGAAACCAGGGGGAGGCAGCAGGAGUUGUCAGAGAUGGAGAAAAUACAGCCUGGAAGUAAAGAUUGAGAGGACUGGGGCUGCUUAAUACACAGAAGAGAGCACUGAAGGGAAAACACACCACCGGAUGGGGAUAUAUAUUUAGCAACAGCAAAGAGAAGGUUUUGUUCAGUAGGUCCGUGGAGGAUAGGAGAGGGAAGUGUGCAUGCUGCUGAUUUGGGCGAGGUAUCAGGAGAGACAUCCUAGCAAGCAGCAGAGACAUCUCUGCCAGGCUAUGAGAAGAUCAGAGAAGGCUUAAGGAAGAAUUUGGGAAGCCUCCAUGAGUAUAUUGGUUCAAGACGCCCUGCUCAAGAGCCCGAUGCUGCAGCCUUUCAUUCUGGGGCACAUAGUAGAGCAGGAUGGAAAGGGAGAUGCAUUUUAUAGAGUACUAUGUCUUACAGAGUGGCCUUGAAAUUCAGAAAUGUCUCUGCAUUGGUGGGUAAAACUUGAAAGUUUGGGGAA
Molecule: long non-coding RNA, 4257 nt
Organism: Tympanuchus pallidicinctus (lesser prairie-chicken)
Lineage: Eukaryota; Metazoa; Chordata; Aves; Galliformes; Phasianidae
Exons: 3
Source: RefSeq, a predicted model, not a curated record